Molecule: ribosomal RNA, 774 nt
Filed under: Triticum aestivum (bread wheat)
Lineage: Eukaryota; Viridiplantae; Streptophyta; Magnoliopsida; Poales; Poaceae
Description: partial small subunit ribosomal RNA
Source: RNAcentral
AUGCAGCCUCUGAAGUGGUCCCGGAGGGACAUACUCUGUGGCGAGCUCUGGGCGGGCGAUGCCGGGCGCCGGGUCCGGCUCUACUGCUGGGUCCACCCACAGUCCUACCUACCCAUCCUCUCCUUCCGAGUCUCCAGCCAUACCCAGCCGCCGCCGAAAGAGCAGGGCGAGAAGAGCUCGGGGAUGGGGAAGGUGGUGUGCGUCACAGGCGCCUCGGGCUACAUCGCCUCCUGGCUCGUCAAGCUCCUCCUCCAGCGCGGCUACACCGUCCACGUUACCAUCAAGGACACCGCUGACCCCAAGAAAACAUUGCACCUGCAGGCCCUGGAUGGAGCCAAGGAUAGGCUGCACUUGUUCAAAGCAAGCUUAUUGGAAGAAGGCUCUUUCGAUGCUGCCAUCGCCGGUUCUGAUUGUGUGUUCCACACGGCUUCUCCCUUUUAUCACAAUGUCAAGGACCCCAAGGCUGAGUUACUUGACCCAGCAGUCAAUGGAACACUCGAUGUUCUCCGUUCCUGCAAGAAAGCCUCUAUCAAGAGAGUCACCAUCACGUCAUCAAUGGCUGAUGUUGCCUACAAUGGGAAGCCAAGAACUCCUGAUGUAGUAGUUGAUGAGACUUGGUUUUCAAGUGCAGAGAUCUAUGAAAAGAAUCAGGUAAUAUGCUGUUUUCAGUUGAUAGAACUCCGGUUGUUUUUCACACAUGGUGUGGUAAAAUUCUGGUUGAUUUGCAUAUAUGGUGUGCCAAGUCACGUUAAUAAACACAUAGACCUCUACUGA